UGGCGGACGGGUGAGUAAUGUCUGGGAAACUGCCUGAUGGAGGGGGAUAACUACUGGAAACGGUAGCUAAUACCGUAUAACGUCGCAAGACCAAAGAGGGGGACCUUAGGGCCUCUUGCCAUCGGAUGUGCCCAGAUGGGAUUAGCUAGUAGGUGGGGUAACGGCUCACCUAGGCGACGAUCCCUAGCUGGUCUGAGAGGAUGACCAGCCACACUGGAACUGAGACACGGUCCAG
Molecule: ribosomal RNA, 235 nt
Filed under: uncultured bacterium
Lineage: Bacteria
Description: partial 16S ribosomal RNA
Rfam family: Bacterial small subunit ribosomal RNA
Source: RNAcentral